RNAcentral lists this unclassified non-coding RNA (1478 nucleotides) under Hevea brasiliensis (rubber tree). The record is from RNAcentral. Lineage: Eukaryota; Viridiplantae; Streptophyta; Magnoliopsida; Malpighiales; Euphorbiaceae.
ACUAUUUUUAGCCUAUUAAUUGAGAAUUCCAAAUAUCUUCUUUACUCAUUACAAUAUAUUUUUCAAAAACAAACUUAUAAAUGCUGGAGGUUCUCAACAUGUCAAUAUCUCAAUAUGUGUGUUCCACACCCAGUUCUAAAGCCUAAAGCUAACACUUUGUUCCAAACACAUUUCUAAAGCUAACAUUUUCUGGAAGACUUCAUAAAGGCUCGAAAUGACUGUAAAUUACGUUUCUACAUCGGAAAAUGAUGUGCAUUGCUUUCUAAUAUCCGCUGUGAAGCUAUGUUCACAGCAACUUCUGUCCAGAGAGACGAACCAACUCCCAUAUCUUCACAGUCCCAUCAUCACUGGCCGAAGCAAGAAGCCUCCUAUCCCCGGAGUUCCAUUGCACAGAAUUUACAUCCAUUUCAUGAGCCUUCUCUUUCUUCAGAAGUAGUUUAAAUGAAGGUCCCUCAACCUCAUUGUCAUUAUUCUCAACAAAUAAACAUAUAGCGUCAUCAGCUGCUCCACUAGCAAUUAUUCCUUCCCUUGACCAAUGAACUGAGAAAAUUGUCCUAUCAUGAUAUCCAGAUAGGGUGCAGACAUGUUCCCAAGGUGCAUUUUGAUCCCCUUCCUGCAUUUUGCUAGUCCAUACCUUAAUGGUAAGGUCAUCACUGCAAGAAACCAUUUUGUCUCCACUAGCAUCGAAAGAGAGAGACCAGACAGUAGAUGUAUGUCCACUAUUAGAUUCACCCAAAGUUUGAAUACAAUGCCAAUCAUCACUAUCGCCAUCCUCUAUCCAAACCUUAAUGGUGUUAUCAUAACUACAUGAGAACAAAGUAUCCAUAGAUGGAUUCCACUGAACCAUCUUAACAUCUUGUGUGUGCCCUUGUAACACUGAAACACAGUCAAACUCAUUUCCAGGCAACACUUCCCAUAUCCAAACCGACUUAUCUCGUCCACAUGUCGCAAGCAGUGAGCCCGAAUUAUUCCAAGAAACGCUUUUCACUUCAUUGUCAUGACCCUCCAACGUGGAGACACACUCAAAGUCAACCCCAACAUUUUCCCAAAUAGCAGUGGUGGCAUCAAAGCUAGCUGUUGCCAAAAAUUUGCCCGACGGUGACCAUGCACAUGAUCUAACAGUCCGUGUAUGUGUUUCCUCCAAAACAGCCUGACACUGGAAAGAGCCUGUGGAGUCCUCUUCCCAGAUUCGUACGGUUUUAUCGCCGCUGCAGGAAGCAAAUACAGCUGAAACACCAUUGAUUCCGGUAGCCGGUUUCCAAGCGACGCUCCAAACCUUAUCGGUGUGGCCUUCAAGCCUCUGAAUCUCUCUCAGUUCAAAAUUCUCAUCCUCAAAAUUCAUAGUAAAAACGGUGGAGCUGUGGUUGCAAACCUCUGUAUUGCCCACUUAAGUGGCGGAGUAGAUAGGAUGAUAGUUCAGGAUAGUAUACGCGCCGCCGUGAUUGGUGGAGGGUUUAGAUGACUGCGGUCACUAGGGG